This 6457-nucleotide long non-coding RNA is filed under the name Sus scrofa (pig). RNAcentral describes it as "lncRNA (ENSSSCG00000056977.1)". Lineage: Eukaryota; Metazoa; Chordata; Mammalia; Artiodactyla; Suidae. The record is from RNAcentral.
ACAGAAGUGAGACCCAGGGGCCAGAGUAGACGGAGGGAACUGGGAAGCGUGGAGCGUGGGACCUUUUCAUAGAUGGAUGGCAGUGUCACACUGUGACUGUGGUGACCACUGUGUCUGACCCCAUGGGCAUUCAGAGCUGCCGCAGGCGCGUCCUUCUUUAGCCUCGUUUCCCUGGUAACCAGCUCUGUGACUCCCUGCCGCCUCCUAGUCGUCACCCCUUGGGCCUUCAUCUUUCCUUUUCCUGAGAUGUUUAUAAAACCCAGCCUCCCACCACACCUCCUGAUUCCCUGUGUUUGCAGGGUUCUUGCCCCAGUUCCACCCGGCCCACCCCUUCCUACCCUGCCCAGUCCCUCUGUCCGUCCUAUUUCUUUCCCGGCCAUGUUCCAGCUGCGUAGCAUGGAUGCAGGUAGUCCCGGCCUCGCUUAUCUCUCAUUAUCAGAGUUUACAGAAAACCGCCUGGGUUGCCUCCCAUUCCCAGGCUGAGGAAAUUAAAGUGGCUGCAUUUUUAUUACAGCUUCUCUCAAGGAUACUUCCAGAAACCACAGAAUCCGGGAACCUUAUUACUGAAGUGGAAGUUGAGAGGUCACCUCCCAUCCCCUUCCUUCUAGGCAGUUGGAUUUCUUUUUGUUUUUGUUUUGUUUUGUUUUUGUCUUUCUAGGGCCGCACCCGCGGCAUAUGGGGAUUCCCAGGCUAGGGGUCUAAUCGGAGCUGAGCUGCUGGCCUACACCAGAGCGACAGCAACACCAGAUCCGAGCCACGUCUUCAACCUACACCACAGCUCACGGCAACACUGGAUCCUUAACCCACUGAGCGAGGCCAGGGAUUGAACCCACAACUUCAUGGUUCCUAGUUGGAUUCCUUAACCACUGCGCCAUGACGGGAACUCUGGCAGUUGGAUUUCUAAACUCUUUAUAAAUGGACCUUCUUUAAGAUUUCUAUGUCGACAGUCACAACUCGGGCCUUAUGAUAGGGCAGCCAUGGAAUUUUUCAUUCAAAUAGGCGGACAUGCAAGAAUGAAAGGCACCCUGACCACACAGGACCCCAGGGCAGCUGAAGCAAGCUGGGGUAGCCUUGGGCUGGCUGGGACUUGCGGUCACUUCCACACAAUGUGUCCAGCAGACGGAACCUGAGAAACUCCUUUUUGUGAGAGUUUACUGUUUGUCACGAGCUGAUCUCCAAGAGUUUUCUGGGGCCAUUGUUUCAGGUGCUGGGACCAAAGUGAGCAAGGUGCAGUUCUGGCCUUGACGCCGUCGGGGAAGAAAGACAGGAAUAUAGUUUGCUGUGAUUCGGUUUGACUAGCUUUGGUUUCUGUGUGGACAAGGAAUAGCUUUGUGAACAAAGCAGCAGUGAUGGAGGGGGGAGCCAGAGGCAGUGACACGAGAGGGGCCUGCGAAGAAUGCGCAGGAUUCCGCGGGGAGGCUGCAGACCUGGGGCAAAGCAGGGGCGUGAAGAGCAUGCGGCCCAGCACAGUGUGGCCCGGGGUGGGGAGGCCGGGGCUGGGAGUGGGCCCCGCUGAGGAGCCUCCGCUUUUGGGGGCCUCCUUGGUGCCGGGCCUUCGUAUUCUCCUCCUGCUCCAGUGUGAGGUCUUGUGAAGGUGGGGGGGGGGCAGGGACUGGAGGCGGCCCCAAGACCCUCUGCCCCACAGUGGGGCGGGGACCCCCAAACUGAGGCGUGUCAGGAGGAGGAAAAGGCAGAGAAAUGUCCAGACUGUGGCUGCCAAGACAGGGGAGGGCCACGCUGGUGCCCGGAUCCCAGUGGUCCGCUCACGAGGACCAAGGAGAAGGGACUUCCGCUGGCUGAGUCAUGGGGUGACAGGGUUGAGUCCCACACUCCUGAAGGCAGUUUGGGGCACGUGUGUGGCAAAAAGGGGGAUCGACUCCUGCAGAAAAGUUUGAUUCCUUAGUGGGUUGAUCAAAAACAAGGUGGUAGAAGAGCGUGGUCAGGGAACAAGGGUGGCUUGAGGGGACUUGGGGACCAUCUCACCCCAAAGUGGGGGGGAUCGUGAAUGACAGGGAGGGCCAUCCAGGAAGCUGGGGGAGAAGAGCCCAUGAUGCCAGGGUGACCAAGGAGAGGCUGUUGGGUCUCAGAACUAGAUGGCCAUUGGGAACUUUCAGAGGAAGCUUUAGUACCGUGACUGGGCGGAAGCCAGGCCAGGAGCUUGGGAGAUGGGGAGCAGGAAGGGCCUGCUCCUUGCAAACAGUUGGAGGAAGGAGGAAAGCUGAAGCUGGAGGGUGAGCUGGGGCUUCAUGAAAAGUGCUCCUUUCCAGGUUAAUAGAGUCUUGAGGAAGUCGCUAUGGACAGUGAGUUAAAGCCCGCCCAGUCUGGGCUCUUGAGGGUCAUGCAGGCUUCCCACUGCCCCGUAGACCUGUCCUCUCCAUACCCCAGCCGCCAGCCGGGUAUGGCCAUUGACAUCCAACUUGAUUAACAUUGAAUCAAAUUUCAAUUUGAUUAAAAUUGAAAACUGGGGUCUUCCAUCUCAUCAGCUACAUAUCGAGUGUGUAGCCACGUGGCCCAUGACUGCACGUCAGACAACACCCACGAAGCGCGGGCCCCUCACCAGAGCUGCCCUAGGCUUCCCCACAUCUGUGGUAGACUGAUCACCUCCCAUUCUGCCUUUUGGGUUUCAUGGGCUCUCAGCAUUAUCUGGUGCCCCAACCCAACUCUAAAGUGAAGGAAGCCAGAUGAUGCUUUUUGCAGAAGUGCUGAAGAAUUCUUAGCAUUUUAAAGUCGACCUUAUCCCCAAACAUAGGCCUAUGAUAAAUUGCUCCAUGAAGUUAAACAAGAAAAGAGAGAGGAAAAAAAUGUAAAUAAGUGGAUUAUUUCUGAUGAACCAUCUAUUUACAGUCUUUUCAUAGUUACCAUCGAACUAUUUUCAUCUGAUAAUUAGCCUUUGUUCAUGCACAGAAACUUAAUUCUUGUAAUUCUUUCCCAGUUAUGUGCUCAUUAGAACAAUUUGGCAACUUAGCCUCCUCCAUCCAGGAAGCCCUGGGGCCCUGCUGGCUGCCCACCUGCCUGGGCACUUCCAAAUAGACCUUGAGGGCUGCAGGGAAGAAGAGGCGUAUCUGUUGGUGGUGGCAGGUUUCUGAGAAACCGCUGCAUCUGGGCACAGAGCAGGUGUCUCGUUCUCUCUAAGCCACUCUGCCCUCUAUCCUUCAGAGGGAACUCAUCUCCAAGAUGCUUGGGUUUAAAAAGGUCUUUCCAGGAGUUCCUAUCGUGGCUUAGCAGAAACAAAUCUGACUAGUAUCCGUGAGGAUGCAGGUUCGAUCCCUAGCCUUGCUUAGUGGAUUAAGGAUCCGGCAUUGCCAUGAGCUGUGGUGUAGGUCACAGAUACGACUCGGAUCUGGUGUUGCUGUGGCUGUGGCAUGGGCUGGCAAUUUGACCCAUAGCCUGGGAACCUCCAUGUGCCACUGGCACAGCCCUAAAAAGACAAAAAAAAAAAGCCCUUUCCGUUGGAUGCGCCGAGGUCGGGGAUGUGCAGGUGGGAGGUCAGGCCUGAGUUGUACAUGUGGGGGUCACUCAUGGCCUUUACUUGGGGGAGGAGAGCGCACUGGUUGAAGGUUCUCGAUGGCCUCACCCCGCGUGGUCGCACUCACGGACACGUUCAGCAAAAUGUGACCAGGUUCACAAGCUGCAGGUACAAAGCUGGUCUGAGGCAGACUUUACUUCAAUCAGGAUCCAAAUUCUGCCCUGUCAACUUGUCUAAUUCUAUAUGUUUACAUUUUGUAUUUGUUUUCUUUUUCUCUUAGUUUUCUAGGGAAUUUUUCAUAUGAAAAUUCCCAGCCUUGUUUUAGCUGAAUGAAGGGAAAGGUUUUUUUCCAGGACUCCUGAGAAAGAUGGAGGGAAUUCGGGCGCCCCUGGUGGCUGUGGUGGCAGCUGCAGGGAGAGUAGCCAGCUUCCCGUCUGGUCCUCAGGGAGCAGGUUCUGUGGGAAAUGUCCGGGAGAUUCAGAGACGCCCGGCUGGUGGGGUUUCUUCCUGCCUCUCCCUACAGGGCAGGACCUCCGUGUCCAUCCCUGAGCCCCAGGUUGGAGCCCUGGAGCCCAUGUCCACACUCAGAUCUGCCUUGCACUGAGAGUUUGGAACAGACUGGGCUCUGGCCGGUGUUGUCUUAUUUAGUACUUAAGCCAGUAUCAAGUUUCAGGGCCCCAGUUUUCAAAUGGACACACGGAGGCUCAGAGAGUGAUUGGUCCAGAUCACAUGGUCAGGAGAUGCUGUUCUGUCUCUCUGGAGCCUGGGUGCCCAGCCUGAUCUGCUCCCUGAUAUUGAACUGUAGGCAGAUGGCCCUGGACAGUUGAAGGGGUACAGCUGACACAGGGAGGCCAUGUGAAUGGUCCAGCUUGGACAGCCUUGGCUGUCACGUCUACCGCGCUGGUUGAACACAUACAGCUUCUAGAAAGUAGGCUGCGUUUUCGGUUGUGGGCUGUGUCCUGUGGUUCUGCCUGUGCUGGGUUGUGUAUGCUUCAGUGACAGGCGCCUGCUCUCCCAGCCUCCUGCGAUGGAAAGACCAGGAAGAGGUGAAGACAAAGACCCCUCGAGAAAUCUGGAAAUAUCUGCAGCUUAGCCACAGCUGAGUGUCUUGCUAGCAAAGCUGUUCCUGCUUCCUUUCCAAGUCUGAGGACACAAAGGGUUCUCUUCUCCGUCUUGGGGGUCGGGGGGUGUGGGGGGCAGAAAGGCAGUCCACCAGGAGUGGCGGUCUGGGGCAGACCCUUUGGGGGCUGUGCUAAGCUUUGAUCCAGCUGAGCAAUGGCUGGCUGCCCGGGCCUGUGGUCCCCCACAGUCCCUGUGAGGCUCCCGAAACCUCAGGCCCCUGUGAAGAGGGUGAGUUGUUGUCACAAGGCCCUGCCCUGUCACCACCUAUUAAAUUUUCUGGGGACCUAGCAGCCCCCGGCCUGUGGCCACUCGGCAGCCUCCUCCGGGCCAAGAACUCUGGCGUGAAGCUAGGCCUCUCCCACUAUUUACUGUUUCAUUAGUGGUUUUCCAAAGGCAGGCGUCCAAGCUUGGCUGGGCCACGCCAUUCGGAAGUACGUGAACACUUAAUAAAACCAAACUGCUGAAGGAUCCCAAACCCAGAAAUCUGGUCUCUUAGAAGUCCAGGCCGGAGGCCCGGGGUCUGCUGCAUUGCCUCUGGAUACUUCUGUGCCACUCAUCUGUCUCUGAGCUCUCCAGCCUGCUAGCAGUUCUUAGCUCUUUGGGGCUCACUAACCUCUUUUUGUAUCUUAAGAAAGCUUUGGACUCUCCCCAGAAAAGUGCACCCCUGAACAUGCAAGCAGCAUCUUGCUUAGAGUCACGGGAUGCUUACAGCCGCCCUCUGAAGAGGGAUCCCGCUGAGAAGCCUGGGCUAAACAGCAGCUGCUUGCAGGAUAGGUGGAGUGUUUUCUCACCAAGAAGAGUCAAGAGGCUUCUCAGUUCUUGGUUUUUGAAAUGCCAGCAACCAGGAUGGGGCCUAAACCACCAGAGUCACGGCUGACCUCAGAGGCCAGAGGGAAUUCAGUGCCCAGGCUCAGAGUCCCUGUGGGCAGCUGCUCAGAGCCCUAGGCUUCGGGGCAAGUCGGGAAUGGCUGUGGGAGUCAGGAGUGGUUUUCAGCAGGUGCUAAUGGCAAGAGCCACGUACUGAGGAAGCAUGGUCACCUUGAAGGUGGCCUUGGGCAAGUCCCAGUCUGUAGCCUGCGAAUGGUAAAAGGCCAGCAGUGGAUGGGGACUGGGGCACAGAGUGUCUGAACAAAGUAGGAGCUGGGUAAACUGAGUGGCGUAGAGGAAGGGGAGUAGUGAGCACCCCAUUAGAGGGGACGGUGUCGGCAUCGAGGGGGGCUUCCUGCCCUGCUGGUUUCUCAAGCUGGGAGCCUUUGAGAAAUCUUCUGUGCCCCCACCCUGCCCCCAUCAGAGCUUCUAAUCUCAGGAAGGUGAGAACAGAGGGGAGAAGGGGGAGUUAGUGUUUUGGUGGCUGGUUUUGGCAGGUGGCAUGAUUUGUCCCCAAAACAAGCUCCCUCAGGUCCCCUAGAAGUGUGAACCCCCUGAGGGCUGGUCCAGAAGACCUUGGACCUGCAGUUCCUGAGCCUCUACCCAUUGGCCCAGGGCUGGAAUAGACCCAGGCUGGGCUGGAGGGACGAUGCGGAGGACGGGGCUGCUGGGGCCCUUUUACAUGGGGGCGGGGGUGGGGGGCUGCUCACCUCUGUGCUCUAAACCAGAGACCUCUUUUAAAGUCAUCUUCUGGAGUUCCCGUCGUGGCGCAGUGGUUAACGAAUCCGACUAGGAACAAUGAGGUUGUGUGUUCGAUCCCUGCCCUUGCUCAGUGGGUUAAGGAUCCAGCAUUGCUGUGAGCUGUGGUGUAGGUCACAGACACGGCUUGGAUCCCGUGUGGCUGUGGCUGUGGUGUAGGCUGGCAGCUACAGCUCCUAUUGGACCCCUAGCCUGGGAACCUCCAUAUGCCGAGGGAGCGGCUCAAGAAAAAGGCAAAAAGAC